Molecule: long non-coding RNA, 1648 nt
Filed under: Salmo salar (Atlantic salmon)
Lineage: Eukaryota; Metazoa; Chordata; Actinopteri; Salmoniformes; Salmonidae
Description: lncRNA (ENSSSAG00000097774.1)
Source: RNAcentral
GGUGUCUGAUAACAAUAGAAGAUACAGGACAGAUAUAUAACAGGAGUUAAAGGAGAGGUGUCUGAUAACAAUAGAAGGUACAGGACAGAUAUAUAACAGGAGUUAAAGGAGAGGUGUCUGAUAACAAUAGAAGAUACAGGACAGAUAUAUAACAGGAGUUAAAGGAGAGGUGUCUGAUAACAAUAGAAGGUACAGGACAGAUAUAUAACAGGAGUUAAAGGAGAGGUGUCUGAUAACAAUAGAAGAUACAGGACAGAUAUAUAACAGGAGUUAAAGGAGAGGUGUCUGAUAACAAUAGAAGAUACAGGACAGAUAUAUAACAGGAGUUAAAGGAGAGGUGUCUGAUAACAAUAGAAGGUACAGGACAGAUAUAUAACAACAGGAGUUAAAGGAGAGGUUUAUUUUAGUCAUUUAGCAGACGCUCUUAUCCAGAGCAACUUACAGUAGUGAAUACAUACAUUUCAUCCUUUUUUUUCUUUUUUUUUUUGUGUGCAGGCCCCCCGUGGGAAUCGAACCCACAACCCUGGUGUUGCACACACCAUGCUCUACCAACUGAGCUACAGGGAAGGCUGUAGUGUGUCUGAUAACAAUAGAAGAUACAGGACAGAUAUAUAACAGGAGUGUUUAGUGAAACUGGCAGGCUGUUAACAUCACUUUGUCACGGUCCGGACACCUCCUGGCUCUUCCUGACACUCAGCCUGAAUCUUCAUGGCUUCCAUUAACAUUAAUUAGAGAGGGGAAUUAUAAUUUACUCCAUGUGACAGAGAAAACUAAAAUGCUCAAAGUUAAAAAGUCUCCUCUUCUGGAAUGAUAACAUGCUAGUGAUCAUGGAGCAGAGAUAAACUGGAGAUAUUGUGAGAUGUUACAGGAGUUGUGUGGGGUAGUGCUGAUGUUAAACUGCUGCUCUUAAGGACACACAUGCACUUGACAGGUAAUUCUCCAAACUCAAAACACACUGAAAAUAAUCAAAGACAGAUCCUCGCUCUUGUAACCCAUCUGACAAAAACAAAAGCACCAAGUCUCUCCUGAAUAUUUGGCUGACAAUUCAGACCGUUCCAAAGUGUUUUGGUUUUUUAGUGGAUGUUUAGAUCAUUUAGAACGUUUAGAAAGUUUAGGGGUCGUUCGACGAAUUGGGUUCCUUUUGAAAAGUGUAAAAUAAAUAAAUAAUUGUUUCACCUAAUUUUAACAUUCUGUCAUUCAUUAACAUUCUGUUAAUAAAAAAAUUAAAAUAAAAACACAUUAACCCAUCUCAAGAGGUUAAAGAAAAAAAAACUAAGCUAACAUAUGGAAUUGUUUUAAGAUGUUCAUACAAUGGAUGAUUUAGCUAUUUCAUUUUGAAUUUUAGGACCCCUUUAGGUAUCGAAAUGAAAUAUUUACUACUAUAGCCCAUAGAAAUGUAUUGAAUUACGCAUUCAUAAAUGGAAAAAAAGACAGUCCAAAAAUAAAUCAUAAGGAAUAAGGUUUUGAAGUGUCUGUCCCAUGUCUAGGAGAUAUAAGAAAGCUCAGGACAUAUUUAACCCCUUACUUUUGUGGCCACAAAAGUAUCUCCAUACUUCCAUUGGUUUGUAUGGGUUACCUUUAGAGUCUCCCCUUCCAUAGAGAAGUCAUGUAUGGGUUACCUUCAGGGUCUCCCCUUUCCAUAGAGAAG